RNAcentral lists this long non-coding RNA (2498 nucleotides) under Homo sapiens (human). RNAcentral describes it as "non-protein coding LINC00937:13". Lineage: Eukaryota; Metazoa; Chordata; Mammalia; Primates; Hominidae. The record is from RNAcentral.
AGACGCCCCAGCUCCGCCGAGAGGCCGCUUGCGCAGGCUCCUUCUUCUUCCGCAAGUGUAGGCAGAGCCCCCGGAGCCAUGGCCAGCCCUUCCCGCAGCUCCGAAGCCACUGGCAAGCCCCGAGGCAGGGAUGGCCGGCCCAGGAGGGAGGAGGACGACGUCCCUCCCGAAGAGAAGAGGCUGCGGCUCUUGCUGGAGGGGGGAAGCGCACAGCCCCAGGACGGCGAGGACGGGGAGGACGCGCCGCGGCCGGGCAGGGUGGAGACCGGCACCCAGACAGGUGGCGACGGCAGAGGAAUCCUUCUUAGAAAUUCCUAAGGCUCAAUGCUGUGUGGAAGAUUCUGAGAAAGAAAAUAGUUUCCGAUCUUUGGGAUUCCCGAGAUGGUCCAAUCUGCAAAAAGUUCAUUGCCAUUUCCAUCAAGGACACUGAGAACAAGAGUCUUAUCUGGAUUGGAUCCUGGGAAUUGAGAAGCUUCAGCAGGGCUUCCGCUGGGACUAGGAUCAGGGUGUGGACACCCCCAACCUGGACCGUCUGGCCGGGGAGGGCAUCAAGGCCAAUUACCCAUGCAGCCCCCUGUCACAAUGACCUCCCCAUCCCACUUCACUACCAUCCCAGAACUCUGUACUUACUGCUCCGUCACUGGUAAUGACAAUGAACAUCUUCACAAUCUCAGGUUUUAUUGCAAAGUGAUUGAGGACCAGUUAGAAUAAGUUAUGCUGCAGAAACUAAAGAAAUCUCGUCAAACAAGUGGUAUGUAAUAGAAAGUCUUAGGGCAGCCGUGUAUAUUUUCUCCCCCAAUGACUCAAUUGAAAAUGAGAAGCUGUUACCGCCAUGUUCCGGGCAGAAGCUAUCAAAAGUAUAAGCCAUGAUAUUAUAAUUUGAUGAUUUUUCACCCUUCAAAUGGAUAUGGCCCAGGGGUGAAAAGUGGAUGCUCCGUAACUAGAUGAUGGUCAAGAGUUAUAAAAAUGAGGUCGUCUCUGUUCAACAUUUCUCCUUUCUUGAAAGGAUACUCAAAGUCAUGCUCAGGGCCUCUAAUGGCCAGAAAUAAAGUUCCUCCCAGUUCCAGAGCACCUCAGGACAACCCCAAAACCAGAGCAACUGCUUAUUGCCAUGUAGACUAUGUACUGUGCAAUUCCUGGGGUGGCAUUUUCAUAAAUAUGUGGGUGGCGCCCCCUGGAGGUAUGCAAUGCACAACUUGCACAAAUGGUAAGUCAUCGUAACCCAAAGUCCACAAAGAAGAGGUAAACAAAAUUCCCAUCGAUGUUGCCAUCAGUCAUGAGUCUGCCUUUUCUUCAUGGGACAGUAGCAAAACCAAUUUGGCCAAGUGUGCUUGGAUGAUCUCUAAGAUGGAAUCAGGGUCUCUCACUUUCAGCACUAUUGACAUUUGGGGCUGGAUCAUUCUUUUGUCUUAGUGGGAGUUGUCGGGGCAUUGUAGGAUGCUUAGCAGCAUCGCUGGCCUCUACCCAUUAGCUGCCAGUAGCACCACCUCCUCCAGCCGCAACCACCAAAAUUGUCUCCAGACAUGGCCACAUGUUCUCUGGGGGGCAAAAUCACUCCCGGUUGAGAAGCCCUGAAGUAAAGACAUAAUACGCAGAUCACAUGUAAGUAAGACAGCCUAAGGGCCACACAGGGGAUGCUGUACCCAUGACAAAGACAGAGUCUUAAAGAGGUUAAAGAGGUGGAGAAAGAGAAAAGAAAUGAAGUCCCAGCUGCCGAGAGAAACAGAUGCUGACUAGAUGUUGUUGACAGUCAUCUUUAAACUGAGUUAAAAGAUGCUGAGAAGCCAUCAGCUCCCAUCCUGCUCUCCAGGGACAACGCUGCUGAAAAAGGCCUGGAGAUCAACAAAGCCCCAAACACAGGUGCACUGAGUAAAGAAACCAGAGAUUGAGACAAAAAAGACAUUCCCUCAAAGACUACUCAUUUCCAAGAGGGGAGAAAAAGUGGAGUCAUGAAAAACAGUUGAGGCUGGGUAGAGUGACUCGCACCUGUAAUCCCAGCACUUUGGGAUUACUCCCAGGCUGAGGUGGGAAGAUUGCUUGAACUCAGGAGUUCAAGACCAGCCUGGGAAAAAUAGCAAGACCUUGCCUCUAGAAAAAGGGAAAAAAUUAGCCAGGUGUGGUGAUACAUGCCUGUGGUCUCAGCUACUUGGGAGGCUGAGGUGGGAGGAUCGCUUGAACCCAGGAGGUAGAGGCUGCAGUGAGCCGGGAUCGCACCACUGCACUCCAGCCUGGGUUACAGAUCCUGUCUCAAAAAAGAAAAAAAUUAAACAAAAUUAAGGCCGGGCACGAUGGCUCAUGCCUGUAAUCCCAGCACUUUGGGAGGCCAAGGUGGGCAGAUCACGAGGUGAGGAGAUUGAGACCAUCCUGGCUAACACGGUGAAACCCCAUCUCUACUAAAAAUACAAACAAUUAGCCGGACAUGGUGCUGGGUGCCUAUAGUCCCAGCUACUCUGGAGGCUGAGGCAGAAGAAUGGAGUGAAUUCGGGAGGUGGAGCUUG